UACGAGGGGGCGAGCGUUGUUCGGAAUUAUUGGGCGUAAAGGGUGCGUAGGCGGUUUGGUAAGUCUUAUGUGAAAUCUACAGGCUCAAUCUUGUAGUCUGCAUGAGAAACUGCCGGGCUUGAGUAUGGGAGAGGUGAGUGGAAUUCCUGGUGUAGCGGUGAAAUGCGUAGAUAUCAGGAGGAACACCUGUGGCGAAAGCGGCUCACUGGACCAUAACCUGACGCUGAUGCACGAAAGCUAGGGGAGCAAACAGG
This 254-nucleotide ribosomal RNA is filed under the name uncultured bacterium. Its description in RNAcentral is "partial 16S ribosomal RNA". It matches the Rfam family "Bacterial small subunit ribosomal RNA", at positions 524 to 776 of the family's 1533-position model. The record is from RNAcentral.